GGAUAGAUGAUUGGGGUGAAGUCGUAACAAGGUAGCCGUAUCGGAAGGUGCGGCUGGAUCACCUCCUUU
RNAcentral lists this ribosomal RNA (69 nucleotides) under Streptococcus salivarius. Its description in RNAcentral is "partial 16S ribosomal RNA". It matches the Rfam family "Bacterial small subunit ribosomal RNA", at positions 1465 to 1533 of the family's 1533-position model. The record is from RNAcentral. Lineage: Bacteria; Bacillati; Bacillota; Bacilli; Lactobacillales; Streptococcaceae. RNAcentral also lists the same sequence under 11 other names.